UACGUAGGGUGCAAGCGUUGUCCGGAAUUAUUGGGCGUAAAGAGCUCGUAGGCGGCUUGGUAAGUCGGAUGUGAAACCUCCAGGCUCAACCUGGAGUCGCCAUCCGAUACUGCCAUGGCUAGAGUCCGGUAGGGGCCCACGGAAUUCCUGGUGUAGCGGUGAAAUGCGCAGAUAUCAGGAGGAACACCGAUGGCGAAGGCAGUGGGCUGGGCCGGCACUGACGCUGAGGAGCGAAAGCGUGGGGAGCGAACAGG
This 254-nucleotide ribosomal RNA is filed under the name uncultured bacterium. Its description in RNAcentral is "partial 16S ribosomal RNA". It matches the Rfam family "Bacterial small subunit ribosomal RNA", at positions 524 to 776 of the family's 1533-position model. The record is from RNAcentral.